RNAcentral lists this transfer RNA (76 nucleotides) under Barbodes aurotaeniatus. RNAcentral describes it as "tRNA-Leu". It matches the Rfam family "tRNA". From Rfam's summary of the family: Transfer RNA (tRNA) molecules are approximately 80 nucleotides in length. Their secondary structure includes four short double-helical elements and three loops (D, anti-codon, and T loops). Further hydrogen bonds mediate the characteristic L-shaped molecular structure. tRNAs have two regions of fundamental functional importance: the anti-codon, which is responsible for specific mRNA codon recognition, and the 3' end, to which the tRNAs corresponding amino acid is attached (by aminoacyl-tRNA synthetases). tRNAs cope with the degeneracy of the genetic code in two manners: having more than one tRNA (with a specific anti-codon) for a particular amino acid; and 'wobble' base-pairing, i.e. permitting non-standard base-pairing at the 3rd anti-codon position. Lineage: Eukaryota; Metazoa; Chordata; Actinopteri; Cypriniformes; Cyprinidae. The record is from RNAcentral.
ACUGGGGUGGCAGAGCAUGGUUAAUUGCGAAAGGCCUAAGCCCUUUUACCCGGGGGUUCAAAUCCUCUCCCCAGUU